This 27-nucleotide non-coding RNA is filed under the name Rattus norvegicus (Norway rat). Lineage: Eukaryota; Metazoa; Chordata; Mammalia; Rodentia; Muridae. The record is from RNAcentral.
UGCCAGGAAUGUUCCAGAACAAGAACA